UAUGUACGGGACGCAGGAGUUUUCGAUCCAGAAGUUAUUGGAAACAAACAUUGGGAUUGGGUGUGAAAGAGAGAGAGA
This is a long non-coding RNA of Sander lucioperca (pikeperch), 78 nucleotides long. RefSeq lists it as uncharacterized. The transcript is spliced from 3 exons. NCBI's taxonomy places the organism in Eukaryota, Metazoa, Chordata, Actinopteri, Perciformes, Percidae. The record is from RefSeq and is a predicted model, not a curated record.